GAUGAACGCUGGCGGCGUGCUUAACACAUGCAAGUCGAACGAAACACCUUAUUUGAUUUUCUUCGGAACUGAAGAUUUGGUGAUUGAGUGGCGGACGGGUGAGUAACGCGUGGGUAACCUGCCCUGUACAGGGGGAUAACAGUCAGAAAUGACUGCUAAUACCGCAUAAGACCACAGCACCGCAUGGUGCAGGGGUAAAAACUCCGGUGGUACAGGAUGGACCCGCGUCUGAUUAGCUGGUUGGUGAGGUAACGGCUCACCAAGGCGACGAUCAGUAGCCGGCUUGAGAGAGUGGACGGCCACAUUGGGACUGAGACACGGCCCAAACUCCUACGGGAGGCAGCAGUGGGGAAUAUUGCACAAUGGGGGAAACCCUGAUGCAGCGACGCCGCGUGAGUGAAGAAGUAUUUCGGUAUGUAAAGCUCUAUCAGCAGGGAAGAAAAUGACGGUACCUGACUAAGAAGCCCCGGCUAACUACGUG
Molecule: ribosomal RNA, 481 nt
Filed under: uncultured bacterium
Lineage: Bacteria
Description: partial 16S ribosomal RNA
Rfam family: Bacterial small subunit ribosomal RNA
Source: RNAcentral